Molecule: non-coding RNA, 75 nt
Organism: Podarcis lilfordi (Lilford's wall lizard)
Lineage: Eukaryota; Metazoa; Chordata; Lepidosauria; Squamata; Lacertidae
Source: the annotation of a GenBank genome assembly
CCAUAGCUCAGUGGCUAGAGCAUCUGCCUUGCAUGAGGAAGGUCGCCGGUUCAAUCCUCGGUAUCUCCAGAUAGG